This is a long non-coding RNA of Corvus hawaiiensis (hawaiian crow), 875 nucleotides long. RefSeq lists it as uncharacterized. The record is from RefSeq and is a predicted model, not a curated record. The transcript has 2 exons. Lineage: Eukaryota; Metazoa; Chordata; Aves; Passeriformes; Corvidae.
CCAUGUUGGGAAGGUCGCGGCCGUUCCCGCCUCAGGGGCGCUGAGGGACGCGGGGCCGCGGCAGAGCGGGACCGUCGCAAAAAGCCGGUUUGACGUGGAAAUCGAGAGAAAGCGGUUUAAAACAGGAAUGACGUGGAAAACACAACAGGAACAGGCAUGAGGAGAAAAGCUGGUGAAGAGCAGCCUGGAAAGCAAAAUAUUUUUAGGGGUAUGCCUUCAUUUAAGGGAUCAUUCGUGUUUAUUCCGUGCUCUGUGCUGGAGGUCUGGUGGAUCAAAAAUUCCUUGGGCUUUUAAUGAAUCACCCCACAGGCCUGGCAUAUCCCGGGAUCUCCACAGGGGGAAGGUCCUGCAGAAAGGUGGAUUUAGGUGAGCCACCAGGAAAAUCCCACGGGAGUAGGAUGUGACAGUUCUGGAAGGGCCUCGGGACAGCAGAGUGUGAGGUUUUAGGAGCAGGUUGGACAAAGCACGGCUCAGGAAUGCUGCAGGUGCAGCCGCUCCUGCCUCGGGCAGCGGGGUGGGUGAUGGCAUUCCCGGAGUCCCAUCCAGGUGCGCAUUUCCAAGGCUGCAUGGUGCUGAUGGAUUUGGAAUGGGCUGCUCCAUCCGUGGGAUUGGGAAAGUGCCCCCCAUCCCUGAGUCGGUGGCUGUGGAGUGCUGGGACGUGUGGUCUUUUUUGCAGAAGGCAUCCAGGAACAAAGCCUCUCAGGAACAGCAUGGAUAUUCAUUUGGGAUGGACUGGAAAUGAUCCAAAAAGGCCUCGUUUCCCACUGUGAACAAACUAACACUUUCUUUUUGGAAAACUGAGCAUUAGUGCGUGCCUCUCUAGGUUCUCCUGGAUAUCCAGGCUGUGCUGGGCCAGAAUCCUACGUGAAAAGGUU